RNAcentral lists this long non-coding RNA (514 nucleotides) under Chloebia gouldiae (Gouldian finch). RNAcentral describes it as "Erythrura gouldiae (Gouldian finch) lncRNA (ENSEGOG00005006164.1)". The record is from RNAcentral. Lineage: Eukaryota; Metazoa; Chordata; Aves; Passeriformes; Passeridae.
GAGAAGCUGGGAGUUCUGAAACAGAGUUGUCUAUAUGGGUCUUCACUGACAUCCUGAAUCCAAGUUUCUCUUUCAGAAUACUUUGCUUUUACCUGCAGUAGGAGAAGCCUGACAGCACAGAGGACAACUGUCAGGGGAACACAUGCUGCAGAUGCCAUUAGAGGGCUGUCAGAGGCUCACGGCUGGGAAUAGCUGAUUUAGGCUUGUUUGGGGGGACUGUGUCUGCUUGAGGCUAAAGGAGAACAUGUGGGAGAGCUCCUCAGAGAUUUCUUCUGCUCUGUAUAAGCCACUGGAACAAAAGGUUUCUGAACAGAAAACUGGAUUCAGAGCUGGAGAAAGCAGGAGGGAGGAGCUGCUGUACUUCUUGUUGGGUAAAUGCCCCUUGCUGUUGCCUGCUGGUGGCUGCCUGAUAAUCUUGUCUGAGUUGUGGUCAGAGUAUGGCUCAUGUAGGGGCAGAGGAAGUAUGUUAAAUCCAAGUAAGUUCAUGAUACACUGGAAAGUUGGGAGCCGCUAA